GACGGAGGAUGCAAGCGUUGUUCGGAAUUACUGGGCGUAAAGGGCGCGUAGGCUGGUUUGUAAGUCUGAUGUGAAAUCCCCGGGCUUAACCCGGGACGUGCAUUGGAAACUGCAAAUCUUGAAUGCUUAAGAGGGUGGUGGAAUUCCAGGAGUAGAAGUGAAAUUCGUAGAUAUCUGGAGGAACACCUGAGGCGAAGGCGGCCACCUGGUAAGACAUUGACGCUGAGGCGCGAAAGUGCGGGGAGCAAACAGG
This 253-nucleotide ribosomal RNA is filed under the name uncultured bacterium. RNAcentral describes it as "partial 16S ribosomal RNA". It matches the Rfam family "Bacterial small subunit ribosomal RNA", at positions 524 to 776 of the family's 1533-position model. The record is from RNAcentral.